GCAGCCUGAACAUUUGGAGCGCCGGGUCUCCAAUGCAGGAGGCCCACCUGCUCCCCCAGCUGGGGGCCCACCUCCACCUCCAGGACCUCCCCCUCCUCCGGGUCCCCCCCCACCCCCAGGUCUGCCCCCCUCAGGGGUAUCUGGGGCAGGUCAUGGAACAGGUGUAGCCCCACCCCCUGCACCCCCACUCCCUACAGCACAGGGCCCCAGUAGUGGGGGUUCCGGGGCCCCAGGCCUGGCCGCUGCCAUUGCUGGAGCCAAACUCAGGAAAGUGAGCAAGCAGGAGGAGGCCUCUGGGGGGCCCCUGGCCCCCAAAGCUGAGAAUAGUCGAGGCACUGGUGGGGGGCUUAUGGAAGAGAUGAACGCCAUGCUGGCCCGGAGAAGGAAAGCCACACAGGUUGGGGAGAAGCCCCCCAAAGACGAGUCAGCCAGUCAGGAGGAGUCAGAGGCCCGAAUCCCUGCCCAAAGUGAACCUGUGCGAAGACCCUGGGAGAAGAACAGAGGAUGAAGUCAUCCUCUUCUGUGACUACCUCCGAGGCCCACCCCUCUGUGCCCAGCUCCAGUGAUGACUCCGACUUGGAGAGGGUGAAGCAGGAGCUUGUGGAAGAGGUGCGGAAGGAGCUACAGAAAAUGAAAGAGGAAAUAAUC
Molecule: long non-coding RNA, 648 nt
Filed under: Rattus norvegicus (Norway rat)
Lineage: Eukaryota; Metazoa; Chordata; Mammalia; Rodentia; Muridae
Description: long non-coding RNA NONRATT002352
Source: RNAcentral